Anguilla rostrata (American eel) is the source of this 1153-nucleotide long non-coding RNA. RefSeq lists it as uncharacterized. The transcript is spliced from 2 exons. Lineage: Eukaryota; Metazoa; Chordata; Actinopteri; Anguilliformes; Anguillidae. The record is from RefSeq and is a predicted model, not a curated record.
AAGAGCUGGAGCAACCACAACGUCGUUCAUGGUUUUACAGUGGAAAUUUGGGUUGUUUUGAGUUGAGUGUUAAGUGUCUAACAGUUGAACUGAGCCCCACCAGUCUCGUCUGAAUUUCCCAGAGGAGGAAAUAACAGAAAUCUUAAUUUUAAAAACGGCUAUUUUUAAACAAGAAUCUUCCUCUCACUCAGUGGGAUGUGUUUUAUUUGGGGGACAGUCCCAGUGAUGAUGUAGCCUUCAGUGUGAGAACUUUAUAAACGCUUCCUCCCUUUAAUUGGAGACAGCAGUGUGAAGGUGCCCCCUUCUGUCUCCUCAGAUUCUGAUCUGCUUAGCAUCGCGGGUCUCAGACGGAAGGAAUGUCUCUCUGUAAAAGCUGUACAGCUGGCGUGGGCCGCCCAUUUCCAUACGCGCUUCCUCCAGACAGGGCAGGAUCGCUCCCAGACACGCCGGAGCUGCUGCCGCGCAGAGGCCACGCCCAUCUGUCUCUAAUGUGCACGGAGACCAAGGCCUUCUGACCGCGCCCUACGGUGAGGCCGAGCCCCUUGCCAAGUACAAAGGCCCCAGCCGGCUACCCUUGCCCGUCAGCGAGGUCACAGUCACAUGUCUCCCAUAUCACCAUGCCAACUGAGCUUCUGUCAGUCAAUGAGAGGAUAAGCAUGACGAUUGAGAGAAGUGCGAGGAUGGCAGCAUAUGGUGGGCGUGACAUAGCACUGAAUGACCUCUGUCCAGUGAAUCCACUACCCUUCUGGAAGGUACAGUGCAAACAGAAUACAGUGAUGAUACUAAAACAAUGAAUGUGGGGCUGCUUGGUGACUUCCAAUUAAGGUACAGUGUAUCAAUGGGUCCCUCGGUCUGGUAUUGAAUCAGGAUCGUUCCAGCGCUCACCAUAGCCAGCAGCCCUGCAGGACGACACGCAGUUGGCUCUAGUGUCACCCACGGAUGGGAUGGUUUCAAUCGGCUGGGAUGACAUUGUCUGAUCACACACCAGCGACCCCUGCUGGUCAGUCGAGUACCUGAAAAUCUGCCUGUUAUGGUGCGCAAGUGUCUUCCUCUGACUCAUGUCUGUGUAAACCUGACUUGUUUGGGCUUUGGGCAUUACACAUUGGGGAGGGAAAUGAGGGAAUAGUGUUUAAAUAAAUCAAUGAGUAUUCCA